GGCACGACCAGCUAGAUGAGCGCAUCUCUGGCACUGAGGCAAGAGCAGACUGAGGUUUGCCAUCAGCAGCUGGGCCUGCAGAAUGAGAUUGAGAAGAUGAGUUCAAUUCAGAGCCACAGACAGAACCGAUCUGCAGCAAGUCAAAUGAAUGAAUGCUUCUCUACAGAUGCUGUAACAGGUGGUGUUGAGUGUCAGAGUGACCGCAGCGUUCAGACAGUCCAGUGAAUCCUUCAGGACACAUCUAAGGAUCUGACGUGUCUUGAGAGUCAGUCAUGGCCCUAUAAAGAGGCCUUGUGUUGAUCACCUCCACCAGCUGUUCUCAAAGACGUCUGUCUCUACCUGAGCAGACAUGGAGCCCAUCAGCCAAACGGUGAGCGUGAGGGUCUCAGACGCGGUUUACCCCCGCAGGCCGCUCCGUGUGAUGCCCAGAGGAGCCUCCUCUCAUUUCGUCGGGAGCACCAUUGUGAUUCUGUCCUCGUAUGCCGUUGCAACUCUGGCCAUGAACUGCGGCAAAAAGAUCCAGGAGGAGAGAUUGAAAGCAUCUGAAAACUGAGUCUGAGUGCCUCAUCAGACGCUGCUGUUAUCUGCUACAGACGUGAACCUUGGAGAGACUUUCUAUCUUAAAGUUUGUCACACUUUGGCAACGUACUUGUCCUCAAGGUUUCGGGUCGAAACAUCCAUGCAAACUUUAAAGAGAGGUUUUUCACUGUGAUCCUGCUGAACAAUUAAGCCAAGAACAGGGAAACUAUCACGAUUACUGAGCAUCAGUUCAUCUCAAGACACUGGAAAAAUAAUCAAAAUGAGGCCCGGAAGCAGAUUUUAUAGGCCUUUUUACUGAUAUUUGAAUUUAAUGAGUUUGUUUAUUUCAUUCCCAUAGAGAAGCACUGUGAUACAUAGACAGUUUUAUAAAAUCAAGUGUCAUUUGUUUAUUGCAAUGUACAGAAAUGAUUAUAAAAUGUUUAAUACAUUGUGUAAAGAAGCUUGAUUGACUUUGCUUUAUUGGUCGUGCACUUCAUAAAUCAUAUAAUAUUAUUUCACAUGAAUGGCAGAGCAAACAGAAGUCAGUGAUUUAAUAAUAUCGGGAUUCAUUUGCACACUACAAGAGCAUACCGUUUCUGUUUUGUUUAUUUAUUUUUAUUUAUGUUUUUUUACAACUGCAGAUUCCUUCAGAAUAAAAGGUCAUUUAAAAACUA
Molecule: long non-coding RNA, 1193 nt
Organism: Cyprinus carpio carpio
Lineage: Eukaryota; Metazoa; Chordata; Actinopteri; Cypriniformes; Cyprinidae
Source: Ensembl